ACGAACGCUGGCGGCAUGCCUAACACAUGCAAGUCGAACGAAGGUUUCACUUCGGUGGAGCCUUAGUGGCGCACGGGUGAGUAACACGUGGGAAUCUGCCUUCUGGUUCGGGAUAACGUCUGGAAACGGACGCUAACACCGGAUAAGCCCUCCUUUCUUGGCGAUUGGGGGGGAAAGUUUACGCCAGAAGAGGAGCCCGCGUCCGAUUAGGUAGUUGGUGGGGUAACGGCCUACCAAGCCGACGAUCGGUAGCUGGUCUGAGAGGAUGAUCAGCCACACUGGGACUGAGACACGGCCCAGACUCCUACGGGAGGCAGCAGUGGGGAAUAUUGGACAAUGGGGGCAACCCUGAUCCAGCAAUGCCGCGUGAGUGAUGAAGGCCUUAGGGUUGUAAAGCUCUUUCGCACGCGACGAUGAUGACGGUAGCGUGAGAAGAAGCCCCGGCUAACUUCGU
Molecule: ribosomal RNA, 454 nt
Filed under: uncultured bacterium
Lineage: Bacteria
Description: bacterial SSU rRNA
Rfam family: Bacterial small subunit ribosomal RNA
Source: RNAcentral